RNAcentral lists this non-coding RNA (1974 nucleotides) under Pan troglodytes (chimpanzee). Lineage: Eukaryota; Metazoa; Chordata; Mammalia; Primates; Hominidae. The record is from RNAcentral.
UUUUUUUUCCCUCUUAAUUCGAGUUUAGUAAUCUGAAAUGGGCGCGCCUAACAGCAGAGUGAGAGAUCUAAAUUGAGACAGGACUUGGAGGCUCCACCCCUCCCAUCCCCAUUACAAUGGCGCUUCUCGCUGCUGUGGCAAACAUCGCAAAUCCAGGGGGUGAGAAAGCAGUUGCUAAACGCAGGCGGCCCCACCUGGCCCGGCGUCCCGGCUGGCCGCGGAGAACAGAGCGCGCCCACUUCCCCGGCCCACCGGGUUCCUCAGGCUGUUUACACUAGCGCUCUACCAACGAUGCCCAGGGAAAAUGUUAUGAUUUAUCACCUUAAAAAAAAAAAAGAAGAAGAGAACUGGCACUGCAGACGUUAGGUGUUGCUACUUGGAACCCUGAAAAAAAAUUACCUAAGAAGAUGCCUUUAUAUUUUUGCUACAGAAAGAAUUUGGUAGAACUGUAAAGCUUGGAGCAAUCUCUGAACACAAUUAGGGUUGGGGUGGCUCUCCUGUCAGAAUGAAGGCCAGUGGCCGGUGGUGCCCAGGAGUUAUUGAUGCCCAACGCUUUCUGGCUUGUUUGCAGCUCCUCUCUCCUGCUCUCUGGCACUGCCACCAUCUUCAGAUGACUCAGGUUUCACCAUGACUACACCAUAAAAGCAGGGAACUGCCAGAAACUGUUGGAAAACAGACACAUUCAGUCCCUGACAACUUAAACUUUCUAAUUCAUGGAGCGGUUUUAGAUGGUAGCAUUCUAAUAUGGGGCAAAAUGCAAACGGAAAAGAGGUCAGCAAAAAGAUGUCUCAUGACAAAGCUAUGUGCUAAAUAAGGAAAAGUGAGAAAGUAGCACCUAGACAAACUGUGGUUUGGGGAAUCCAGAAACUUGCUUUCCUCCCUUUCCUGUUCCACCCUUUUUCUCCCUGCGGAACAGCUUGCAAAGGUCCUUAUGUCCUUUCCUUCAGGCAGCCUAUCUUUAGUGGCCAACUUCCUGUGCAGGCAGGACUUAGGAAUGGUCAAAAGUGUCUGUGUGGAUCCCUGGGUGCUGACCUGUUCCUGACACAGCUGUUACUACUGGUCUCCUCACCUCCGUUGUUCAGAGAGGAGGACCACGGUCAAGGGUGGGCCAAGCACCAAGGUCUAACUCAGUGCUUCUCACAUGCCAAUGUGUGUGAGAAUCACAUGAAAACAGACUCUGACUUGGCAGGUCUGGAACGAGGACUGGGAUUCUGCUUUACUUUAGCAGACAGUAGGCCAUGGAGACUCUACAAGUGGGGGCAAUUUGGGGGCAAUUUGAUGAGCAAAGGCAAUUAAGAACACAGAAAAUUCUUCUCAAUCUUUCACUUCAUAAAGGUGGAUUAAUAAAUUCAGGUUCAUUCUAGAGGUAGGCAAACAUAAGAGGGACUGCAAAAGAUUAGAUGAUAAUGUUGCCUCCCGAGAAGACUUACAGAAAGGCUUAGAACCACAUUGUAUAAAUCUGUGUGGAUUUUAAAGUGAUGCCACCUUCCUGUUUAUGCCCUCCUUCCCACAAUACACACUUGUCGAAAGGCGUAGUCAUGCAAAAAUUUAGGCAUAUGGAUUUGCAUAGAGAUGAGGCUAUUACAUGCCUGGCACAGAGUAGCUAUUCAAUAAAAAUGUGUUAAAAGGAUUAAUGAAAAAUGUUCAUCUCAGAAGUGGGAUUUUUUAUUAAGAAAAACUGAAAAUGAGGCCAGGCGUGGUGGUUCACACCUGUAAUCCCAGUACUUUGGGAGACCGAGGCGGGUGGAUCACCUAAGGUCACGAGUUCGAGACCAACCUGACCAACAUUGUGAAACCCCAUCUCUACUAAAAAUACAAAAUUAGCCAAGUGUGGAUGGUGGCACAUGCCUGUAAUCCGAGCUACUCAGGAGACUGAGGCAAGAGAAUUGCUUGAACCUGGGCGUUGGAGGUUGCAGUGAGCCGAGAUCGCAGAAUUGCUCUCCAGCCUGGGCAACAAGAGCAAAACUCCGUCUC